AGGAAAUCUAUUGUUCACACGGACAGAGUUUUUUCUGUAUUUACACGGCGUCGCACAAGUACAAGAUACAACCACACUGUACACAUAUUCACAUACAAUCACCACAUCACAUUCAUUCUAUCACAAAUUUACUACAAGUUCACAUAUAUUAGUUAAAACGUUUCCUACUCGAAAACUUAUUUUGAAAUACUAAUAAUCAUGAAAACCAGGAAAACUCUUUUUAAAACUGUUUCCCACACGAAAACCCUUUUUCUUUAAAAAUACGCUACCACGAGGGGUAGAAAAUUAUUUUCAUCUCAUAAAGAAACCAUAGUACUUUAUUCAUUUCACAAAAUAAUAUUUAUCCAUAUAACUGAAAACCAACUGAACCAUAAUUACUAAUUCAAUUAUUAAAAAGACAAGUUUG
Molecule: long non-coding RNA, 406 nt
Filed under: Ananas comosus (pineapple)
Lineage: Eukaryota; Viridiplantae; Streptophyta; Magnoliopsida; Poales; Bromeliaceae
Description: long non-coding RNA (ACOM_LNC037344)
Source: RNAcentral